Molecule: long non-coding RNA, 593 nt
Organism: Oncorhynchus tshawytscha (Chinook salmon)
Lineage: Eukaryota; Metazoa; Chordata; Actinopteri; Salmoniformes; Salmonidae
Source: Ensembl
GGAGAGAUAGAAAGGAAGGAUGAAGGGAGAUAUAGAGCGAGGGAUGACUGGAGGGAUAGAAGGAGGAUAGAAGGGAGGGAUAGAAAGGAGAGAUAGAAGGGAGGGAUGAAGGGAGAUAUAGAAGGGAGGGGUGAAUGGAGGGAUAGAAGGGAGAGAUAGAAGGGAGGAUAGAAGGGAGGGAUAGAAAGGAGAGAAAGAAGGGAGAGAUAGAAGGGAGGGAUGAAUUGAGGGAUAGAAGGGAGAGAUAGAAGGGAGAGAUGAAGGGAGGGAUGAAGGAAGAGAUAGAAGGGAGAGAUAGAAGGGAGGGGUGAAGGGAGAGAUAGAAGGGAGGGGUGAAGGGAGGAGACAGAAGGAGAAAUAGAAUGGAGAAAUGGAAGGGAGGGAUGAAGGGAGAUAUAGAAGAGAGAGAGAAGGAGGGACAGAAGGGAGCGAUAGAAGGGAGGGAUGAAGGGAGGGAUGAAGGGAGGGAGGGAUAAAAGGGAGAGAUGAAGGGAGGGAAGAAGGGAGAGAUAGAAGGGAGCGAUAGAAGGGAGGGGUGAAGGGAGGGAUGAAGGGAGGAUGAAGGUAGGGAUAGAAGGGGGGGGAUAGAAGGG